Long non-coding RNA from Bos taurus (domestic cattle), 1154 nucleotides. NCBI's taxonomy places the organism in Eukaryota, Metazoa, Chordata, Mammalia, Artiodactyla, Bovidae. The record is from Ensembl.
CAAUAAGACAUUGUGCAAAGGGCAGGGUGUGACUUCCCCCACACAAGACACUAGCUCCAGCUUGCUCUCUCUGGGACACUUUGUAGGACACUCUGUGGCAAGACCGAUGAUAGGGACUUGAGGGCCCCUGCUGUUGACCAGGGUUAAUACACCAGUCACACUUGCCAACUUGGAAGCAGAGCCUCCAGCCCUCUUCAAGCCUUCUAUGACAUCCUGACUGCAGUCUCAUGGGAGACCCCCAAACCAGAACCACCUAUCCAGCUGCCGCUGAACUCCUGACCCACGGAAACUGGCUCUGGGAUGGCAGCUCCCUCAGCACCUAGAUCUGUGCCUACUUGGCCCUCCGCAGGGACUCAGGAACCUGAGGGUGAGCUUUGCUGGUCUCGGUCACAGCGAGCAAACUCCAGAAUCUUCUUGGCCUCAUCCACACAUAUGACAUUGGAAGCCUUUAGGAGCUCAAGACUUUAGGAGCCUUCCUCUCAGGGGGUGCGGAGCCUCAAGUGCGACCACUUCAGAGCACCCACUCUUGGAGGUGGGCCCACCGUGGUUCAGUGGAGGUGCCACCACCACCAUGAAGCCUUCCUAUAUUCCCCCCAGGAUACCGAGCCCUCAGCAGGGUUAACCCCUCCCUGCCCAGGCUCCUCUGCUGACUGCUGGACUCAGUCGAUGGUACCUGGUUGGGCUGGGCUUCUGUUCAGAUGAAUGUAAAGCAAGUGAAGCUGAAGCUUUGGGGACCCUCACUGGCACGACCCCCUUCCAAAGCCAGUCCCUAAUUUUGUAUUCAUGAUCCCCUCAAAUUGUAUACACUUGGGUCCCACAGAGUUGGGUCCACUCCCGUUUUCAUCCCCACCCAGCUUGAGGUCAGAGCCUCUCUCCUGAACAGUUAUGGCAGGCAAUUUCUCCUCCCCUUCCACCUCCCCUAGGCCCCGGUUGGUCUGGCACCUGGGCCAGAUGGACCCAGAGACAAGGUUUCUGCAUCCACCUGCCCCACUUGGGGUCUCUGUGACCUCUGCUGUCCCCUCUUGGGUGACCAGCCCAGGCCUGCUCUCUGGCUCCCAGGUCACUCAUCUGAAACAAAAUUGGACUUCCUCUCUCCCUCUCUUCCCUCCCCAUCCUCCAUACCUGCCCUAGGGGCCUCCCAGGAACGUUGUGGG